This 253-nucleotide ribosomal RNA is filed under the name uncultured bacterium. Its description in RNAcentral is "partial 16S ribosomal RNA". It matches the Rfam family "Bacterial small subunit ribosomal RNA", at positions 524 to 776 of the family's 1533-position model. The record is from RNAcentral.
UACAGAGGGUGCGAGCGUUGUUCGGAAUUACUGGGCGUAAAGCGCACGUAGGCGGCGAUUCAAGUCAGAGGUGAAAGCCCGGGGCUCAACCCCGGAACUGCCUUUGAAACUAGAUUGCUAGAAUCCUGGAGAGGCGAGUGGAAUUCCGAGUGUAGAGGUGAAAUUCGUAGAUAUUCGGAAGAACACCAGUGGCGAAGGCGACUCGCUGGACAGGUAUUGACGCUGAGGUGCGAAAGCGUGGGGAGCAAACAGG